This is a long non-coding RNA of Saccostrea echinata, 414 nucleotides long. RefSeq lists it as uncharacterized. The transcript is spliced from 2 exons. NCBI's taxonomy places the organism in Eukaryota, Metazoa, Mollusca, Bivalvia, Ostreida, Ostreidae. The record is from RefSeq and is a predicted model, not a curated record.
CAGAUCCAUAGGUGGCGGGUACCCUUACCCCCCGCUGUGGAGACCCUAUUACAGGAGGCCAUUCUGGUAGACAAGAAAUGAAUCCUAGUAAAGCUGGCUACCGAUAUAGUGGAUUUUACUACCGGUAUAUUCGGAAUGAAUACUAAGUAUGUCACAAAUAAUGUGUAAAGUGUGAACAAUCUCUGUACAGAUGGAUGAUAGUAAAUACCCUUGCUGAGAAAUCAUUUAUUCACAAAAAUGUGUCCAUUUACAUAUCCAUAUAUUUCUACUGCUGUACAAGAUUAUUUAUUUAUUAUAUACUGUGUCGAGUAUCAGUGCUGAUUACAUUCAUACUUACUUAUUCCCCGAAUGGAUUUUAUUGUUCGAGCCAUGAAAUAUAAUUAUUGGUGCUUAAAUAAAAUGUUUUGAAUUUCC